CAGCUGACCUGAGCUGGCCAAAGAGAUAUGCCACACUUCAGAAUAUCAUGCCCAUAUAUAAACUGAGGGAGCUACCUGGAAGGGGACUGAACAGGGCUGGGCCAGGUACUGCCCUGUCGUGCACAGCGUUCCAACCUUCAAGUUGUACAAGAAGAAAAGAGUGCUCUCCACUAAGGCAUUAUAGCUAUGCCAUGACACCGGCAGAGAAUAUCAAGAUAAAUGGGUUAUAGAACACUGAAGAGCUUUAUGCUUAUGUCAUCUCAUCCUGUCCUUGGAUGCCUGGGAGAAGCUGAACCCUGCACCUGGCUACAACCUCCUUUCAUCCCUGAGCCUUCUCCGGGCUAAAGAGUCUCAGCUCCCUCAGCUGCUCCUCAUGGAAAUGUGCUCCAGGCCCUUCACCUACUUUGGUACCAUUCUCUAGACUGAUGACAAAACUGGGA
This is a long non-coding RNA of Poecile atricapillus (Black-capped chickadee), 440 nucleotides long. RefSeq lists it as uncharacterized. The transcript has 3 exons. The record is from RefSeq and is a predicted model, not a curated record. NCBI's taxonomy places the organism in Eukaryota, Metazoa, Chordata, Aves, Passeriformes, Paridae.